This 29-nucleotide non-coding RNA is filed under the name Mus musculus (house mouse). Lineage: Eukaryota; Metazoa; Chordata; Mammalia; Rodentia; Muridae. The record is from RNAcentral.
UAAGUAUGAUGGUCGGCAGCGGUAAACCU